RNAcentral lists this long non-coding RNA (1024 nucleotides) under Fukomys damarensis (Damara mole-rat). RNAcentral describes it as "lncRNA (ENSFDAG00000023567.1)". The record is from RNAcentral. Lineage: Eukaryota; Metazoa; Chordata; Mammalia; Rodentia; Bathyergidae.
AUGAGGAGGAGCAUGGGUGAGGAACAGCAAGUCCACCCAGUCACCUCUAUCUGGGAAUGGACAUCAUCAGGACCAGGCCCUGAACACCAUCCUGCUGCCCCCUGGGACCAGGGGCCCUGCCAGCCCUCGGCAAAGUCAGGACAUCCUGGCAUUGAUGGGCUGCUGUCCCUCCACCACCACUCAGUUUGUAGUCAUCAAUACCUCCCUUCCUUCAGACCGCCCGGCUCUCUGUCUGCAGCAUUCACGCUGUCUGUCCUUCCUUGUGGAGCUGAGAGCAGAAGUCAUGAGAGAGGGGCCCACUGACCCCAGAGCAGCUCAAAGCACUGGCUCUCCACAGAAGCUGGUGAGGAAGGAAGCAAUGGUGCUGUGCCAUUGUCCCGCACACUCAGCUCUUCUGGGAUAAGUGCCUCGCUGAAGGCAGCUGGGCGCGAAUCUAGGACCAGCAGCCGAGGUAUCGGGACUACACACUGGAACUCCAGAGGACCCGGCUCCCUGUCCCACAGACUAACCCAGCAGCACAUCAGCUCUGCAGGCAGAGACUGCAGGCCGUUAACCCAUCACCAUGCUGGAGUUGGGAGCUAAGAUGAAGGAAAGGGAUGCAUCCUGGUGCUGGAGAAGUCAGAGAUUGUCUCUCAACAACACCAAGUAAUUCCUCUCUAGCUCUUAUGCUCACAUUUCUUUCUGCUCUACUCUUGAGCCUUCACACUGGUGCCUGGUGUUGUACUUUGCACACAGGCAAUGCCAGAGCAUGCUGGCGACUUGCUCUCCUAGGACUCUUUCAUUUGUGGGGACUGGCCUUUUAUCCCACCUGGGUCUGGAUAUAAAUGUGAGAUGUCGCAGUGUCCCAUCAGUGUGCCAUCUUACAAGCUGCUUUCUUGGUGUUACGCCCAAUACUUCCCUGCUCAGUGAUCUGUCACCACUUCCCAUUGAUCAUAAGUGUGUCCUUCUCUGUGACCUUAUCUUGACAUUGGCUCAGCUGGAACCAUUAUGAACUCCCCUGUCUUCGGUCCUGUAGCAUCCCACA